AAAGUGGGCAGAGGGUGAGGUUUCUGCUGGCAGAGAGGGGAUGAUGGAGUAGAGUGUAACACUGUGGGGUGGACACAUGCCAGUGGAGUGCUGAGGACAGUGAUCUCUAGCGGGGAACCACUCGCUGACGUGAGCUUGGUGGAGGGCCAGGGCAUCAUCUUUCCAUGAACUUGAUGCAGUGAUUGUGCCCCUAAUGCUUUUGAUGAUCCUUGCAUUAUGGAUUAGGAAGCACUGUUCAUAUCAAGACAUCCCACGAGAUUCUUCACCAUGCCUUACCAAUCUGAAUGAGUACCCAACAGCCCAGAAGCCUAGGAGAACAUAGUGAUGCCACUGUUUCUCUUCUCCAUUUUUUUUUCUGCUUCUACUUUAUAAUGAUUUGUUAAUGCAAGCUAUUUUAAUUUCUGUAACUCUGCAUGGAAUACCUUCCUUGUAAUCUCAAUUUUCUUAGUAGUACUCAACCUUCAAAGCCCAUUUCUGAUGCCAUAUCCUCCAGAAGGCUUCCCUGAUCCAUAAGGAGGAAGGAGUCUCUCCCUGGUCUGAAUCCAGACAGUGCUUCAGCUAUGCUCUGCUACAAGUAUACAUUACUUCUUUCCCUGAAUUACAGCUACUUAGGUCUUUGUACAUCUUCUAAUAUUUAAGCUCCUUUGGGACAAUGGUCAUGACAAAGUUGACUUUCUUACAUGCAAAGUGCUCAAUGAAAAUCAAACCAAAACAAAGCAACCUUAUCCAAAUUGGAUUUGUUGUCAUAUCGACAGACUUCUCAUUAUAGUCAUUUCUGACAUCAUUGUUGUUAUUUGAAACUCUGAUGGUCCCUGUCUUGUUUAAAUGCUUUUUUUUCCCCCCUUUUUAAUGUGGGCAAGAAAUUCCAUACUUCUUUAGUUACCUCACUUUCUAUCUAAACUCUUACAGAAAAAAUAUAACUUUGCCCUUUGUCACACUUAUUUUCUAAAUACAUUUAGUCAGCUCUUUCAAACUUAUCCCAAACACAAGGAGAGAAAGAGUGCAGCCCAUGUAUGAAGGGCAAUGGGCCAAAUAUAUCACUGAAUGGUUAAGGUAAGAGCAAGAGGAAUGAGCAUGGGAUCAAAGCAAAGGAUGUAUAUGGAAGGCAAGUCCCCCAGAGAGCGGUUCUGAGAUAUCCCUGCCUAGAUGUUGGUUCCUUUAAGUUUCAUUCACUGCAUGAGUGUAAGUCACUGAGUCAUAUCCAACUCUUUGUUACCCCACAGACUGUGGCCCACCAGGCUCCUCUGUCCCUGGGAUUUUUCAGGCAAAAAUACUGGAGUGGGUUGCCAUUCCCUUCUCCAGGGGAUCUUCCCAACCCAGGGAUUGAAUCUAGGUAUCCUACAUUGCAGGCUGAUUCUUUACCAUCUGAGCCACCAGGGAAGAUUUCAUUCACUAAUCAAGUAAUAUUUGUUAAGCUCUGAAUACAAGACAAUCAUUCAACUCAUAAACUGGUGGGGGAGAAAGCAACCAAGGUUAUUCCUACUUUCUUGAAGUUUACUAAGUUUACUUUCUAAACCUGUGCCCUUUUUACUGGUCAUAUUUUUUUUUUUUCUGCUUCAUUAUAAAAAUUGAAUUAACAGCAGAUGUAUAAUUUAUGUAAAAUAAAAUACAUCUAUUUUAGAUGUACAUGCCCAUUAUUUUGAAAAAUAUAUAAACCUAUGUAAACAUGAUCACAAUCAAGAUAUGAAACAUUUCCAUUACCCCAAUACUCCUCAAAUCUAUUUGCACUUAAACCAUUACCAACUAUGUAUUAUUGUAGCUACUUCAUAUCUUAUGCUAGUUGUUUAGAUUUGUCUUUUCUGUAAUUUUAUUAAAAUGGAACAAACUGUAUAUGCUCUUUGUAGCUGUCAUUUUUUCCCACAUAGCUUAUGGUUAUGUCAUCUAUGUUGCUUAUCGGUGCACUAGUAUCUAUCCUUUUUUAUUGUUCAAUAUGCUCAAUAGAAUUCCAUGUAUGAAUAUGAUAUUCAUACAUGAAAUUAUGUGUGUGUGUGUGUGUGUGUGUGUGUGUGUGUGUGUAUGUUAUUCAUCCACUGUUUGGCUGCUGGUUUGUUUCUAGUU
Long non-coding RNA from Bubalus bubalis (water buffalo), 2058 nucleotides. RefSeq lists it as uncharacterized. Lineage: Eukaryota; Metazoa; Chordata; Mammalia; Artiodactyla; Bovidae. The transcript is spliced from 3 exons. The record is from RefSeq and is a predicted model, not a curated record.